RNAcentral lists this ribosomal RNA (460 nucleotides) under uncultured bacterium. RNAcentral's name for it is "partial 16S ribosomal RNA". It matches the Rfam family "Bacterial small subunit ribosomal RNA", at positions 338 to 795 of the family's 1533-position model. The record is from RNAcentral.
CCUACGGGAUGCAGCAGUGAGGAAUAUUGGUCAAUGGACGAGAGUCUGAACCAGCCAAGUAGCGUGAAGGAUGACUGCCCUAUGGGUUGUAAACUUCUUUUAUAUGGGAAUAAAAUGUUCCACGUGUGGGAUUUUGUAUGUACCAUAUGAAUAAGGAUCGGCUAACUCCGUGCCAGCAGCCGCGGUAAUACGGAGGAUCCGAGCGUUAUCCGGAUUUAUUGGGUUUAAAGGGAGCGUAGGUGGAUUGUUAAGUCAGUUGUGAAAGUUUGCGGCUCAACCGUAAAAUUGCAGUUGAAACUGGCAGUCGUGAGUACAGUAGAGGUGGGCGGAAUUCGUGGUGUAGCGGUGAAAUGCGUAGAUAUCACGAAGAACUCCGAUUGCGAAGGCAGCUCACUGGACUGCAACUGACACUGAGGCUCGAAAGUGUGGGUAUCAAACAGGAUUAGAUACCCUUGUAGUC